RNAcentral lists this ribosomal RNA (492 nucleotides) under uncultured bacterium. Its description in RNAcentral is "partial 16S ribosomal RNA". It matches the Rfam family "Bacterial small subunit ribosomal RNA", at positions 29 to 507 of the family's 1533-position model. The record is from RNAcentral.
AGUGAACGCUGGCGGUAGGCCUAACACAUGCAAGUCGAACGGCAGCACAGUAAGAGCUUGCUCUUACGGGUGGCGAGUGGCGGACGGGUGAGGAAUACAUCGGAAUCUACUUUUUCGUGGGGGAUAACGUAGGGACACUUACGCUAAUACCGCAUACGACCUACGGGUGAAAGCAGGGGAUCUUCGGACCUUGCGCGAUUGAAUGAGCCGAUGUCGGAUUAGCUAGUUGGCGGGGUAAGGGCCCACCAAGGCGACGAUCCGUAGCUGGUCUGAGAGGAUGAUCAGCCACACUGGAACUGAGACACGGUCCAGACUCCUACGGGAGGCAGCAGUGGGGAAUAUUGGACAAUGGGCGCAAGCCUGAUCCAGCCAUACCGCGUGGGUGAAGAAGGCCUUCGGGUUGUAAAGCCCUUUUGUUGGGAAAGAAAAGCAGCAGGUUAAUACCCCGCUGUUCUGACGGUACCCAAAGAAUAAGCACCGGCUAACUUCGUG